This 1070-nucleotide long non-coding RNA is filed under the name Ovis aries (sheep). Its description in RNAcentral is "lncRNA (ENSOARG00000026779.1)". The record is from RNAcentral. Lineage: Eukaryota; Metazoa; Chordata; Mammalia; Artiodactyla; Bovidae.
GGUGAUAGAGGCGAGACCUGUACCCGCCGUGCGGGCCAACAUGGGGAAAGCCCGCGGCCUUGGGCCGGGCUUCGUCCAGGAAGGAGGUUCCCAGGAUAACGCGCUCCCGGGGAGGGGUCCCCUCCUGUUCACGGAGGUGCGUGGGCUGGGUGGGCCCGGGGCAGGAAGCGCGGCCCUGAGCUUUUCCACCUAGGCGGAGGCCAGGGUUCGUGCAGCUUGAAAAGGAUUUUAUCGAAAUUGCCCCAGGAGCAUUUUCCGAGUCUUGACUGAGGGCCCCACCCUGCGCUGGGGCUCAGACCCGGCGGGGACCGGGCGUGGCCGGACGUGCUCCCAGCCGGGUGGGAGGAGGAAGCGGCCGGAGGCGCGGGCCCGCAUAACAAUAAGCCUCCGGGCUGGAGACCCGGCGGCCUUUCAGAGACUUAAGUGGUUGCUCUGGUCGGCGAGGUAAGCGGGAAGCCUGUCUCCAAACGCCCUGCAGUUCUCGCCCUCCGGAGGUUCCAGGCGGCCGAGCACUCAGCCCCUCCCCCAGCCCUUUCCUGGAAAUGUCUUUUAAGAGGCUCCAGUUGGGCGACCCGCCAGAACAAGGGUGCACCCGCCGUUCGGCAGGACUAGGGGCUGUGUAUGAAAGAUCCCGAAUCCUCGAGGACACGCUGGCCUCUGCUGUGAGAGACGGUGCUUGCCCCGUUCUGCCCACCCGAGGGCAGAAACCUGCAGGGGGAUCCUUCGCGUGCAGGGGGAUCCUUCGUGCAGGGGGAUUCCGCACACCCUACACGCUCCCAAAGUGUGCAGGGAUGUUCACGUUGUGCAGCGGCCACCCCCAUCUGCCCAGAACUUGCUCUUCCCAAACAGAAGCACUGGACACUCACUCUGCAGCCCCCCUCCCGCCCCCAGCGGGAUGCGCGUGGGUGCCGUGUCUGACUCUUUGCCACCCCGUGAACUGCAGCCUGCCAGGCUCCUCUGUCCGUGGGAUUCUCCAGGUGAGGAUACUGGAGUGGGUUGCCAUGCCCUCUUCCCAACCCAGGGAUCUAACCCAGGUCUCCCGCGUUGCAAGCAGAUUCUUUACCAUCUGA